This 504-nucleotide ribosomal RNA is filed under the name uncultured bacterium. Its description in RNAcentral is "partial 16S ribosomal RNA". It matches the Rfam family "Bacterial small subunit ribosomal RNA", at positions 29 to 523 of the family's 1533-position model. The record is from RNAcentral.
AUUGAACGCUGGCGGCAGGCCUAACACAUGCAAGUCGAACGGUAGCACAGAGAGCUUGCUCUCGGGUGACGAGUGGCGGACGGGUGAGUAAUGUCUGGGAAACUGCCCGAUGGAGGGGGAUAACUACUGGAAACGGUAGCUAAUACCGCAUAACGUCGCAAGACCAAAGUGGGGGACCUUCGGGCCUCACACCAUCGGAUGUGCCCAGAUGGGAUUAGCUAGUAGGUGGGGUAAUGGCUCACCUAGGCGACGAUCCCUAGCUGGUCUGAGAGGAUGACCAGCCACACUGGAACUGAGACACGGUCAAGACUCCGACGGGAGGCAGCAGUGGGGAAUAUUGCACAAUGGGCGCAAGCCUGAUGCAGCCAUGCCGCGUGUAUGAAGAAGGCCUUCGGGUUGUAAAGUACUUUCAGCGGGGAGGAAGGCGGUGGAGUUAAUAACUUCACCGAUUGACGUUACCCGCAGAAGAAGCACCGGCUAACUCCGUGCCAGCCGCCGCGGUAA